CAGCUAUAUCAUGUUGAAACACCGGUUCUCGUACGAUCACCGAAAGUUAAGCAACGUCAAUCCUGGUCAGUACUUAGAUUGGGUGACCACUUGGAAAUGCCAAGUACUGUAAG
Molecule: non-coding RNA, 113 nt
Organism: Acanthosepion pharaonis
Lineage: Eukaryota; Metazoa; Mollusca; Cephalopoda; Sepiida; Sepiidae
Source: the annotation of a GenBank genome assembly